AGCGAACGCUGGCGGCAGGCCUAACACAUGCAAGUCGAACGAACCUUUCGGGGUUAGUGGCGGACGGGUGAGUAACACGUGGGAACGUGCCUUUAGGUUCGGAAUAACUCAGGGAAACUUGUGCUAAUACCGAAUGUGCCCUUCGGGGGAAAGAUUAAUCGCCUUUAGAGCGGCCCGCGUCUGAUUAGCUAGUUGGUUGAGGUAAUGGCUCACCAAGGCGACGAUCAGUAGCUGGUCUGAGAGGAUGAUCAGCCACAUUGGGACUGAGACACGGCCCAAACUCCUACGGGAGGGAGCAGAGGGGAAUCUUGCGCAAUGGGCGAAAGCCUGACGCAGCCAUGCCGCGUGAAUGAUGAAGGUCUUAGGAUUGUAAAAUUCUUUCACCGGGGACGAUAAUGACGGUACCCGGUGAAGAAGCCCCGGCUAACUUCGUG
Molecule: ribosomal RNA, 434 nt
Filed under: uncultured bacterium
Lineage: Bacteria
Description: partial 16S ribosomal RNA
Rfam family: Bacterial small subunit ribosomal RNA
Source: RNAcentral